This 18347-nucleotide long non-coding RNA is filed under the name Marmota monax (woodchuck). Lineage: Eukaryota; Metazoa; Chordata; Mammalia; Rodentia; Sciuridae. The record is from RNAcentral.
GGUGGCAUCCAGGGUGGCAGCGGCGGCGACUUCGGUGGCCUGUUUCCUGCCGUGGCCUGGUUCCUGCCGUGACCUGGUUCCUGCCUUGGCCUCGUUCCUGCCGGGAGUGAGGUCGGCUUUGGGGGCAGCUAGGGCUGUGUUAGCGGCGGCGGUAGCUUCGUUCCCGCCAGGAAGUAGGGCAGCGGGGAUGGUGUCCGCGUGGGCUUCAGCCGGGGUGGUGCCGGCGGCAGCCUCAUUCCUGCCGCGGGGUAAGGCGGUGGGGCUGGGGUCCGUGUGGGGGGCAGUUAGAGCAGCGGCGGCGGCAGCUACGUUCACGCUGGGCUCCGCACCACCCGGUGUCCGGGAGCUGAGGGUCCUUUUGGCUGCUCCUAUUGCUUGGCGGCUGGGGCGCCGAGCUGUCCGUGGGCGGCCCUCCCCACAAAGGGCAGCGGAGCUGCGUGGUCGCUGGCAGCAGCAGCGGCUGGCCUAUGAGGGCACAGACAUUUGUUGCAGUUCUUGGGGCUUUGUUGUUUUUCCUUGGGCUUUUACCCUUCUUUUCGUUAAUUUUGGAUAAAAUGUCCCCCGUGAUGUAAAGAUUGAGCAAGGAACUUUCGUGAUGUGGGGAGCUUUGCCGAAAGUGCAGGUUGGAUUCUGCUUUUCCUAUGAUGGCGGCUGGAUGAAUCUUCACUGCUGGCCGUGGAAAAGGAUAGAGCAGCUUGUUAGUUGAGUUUUAAAUUUCCCAGUGUUGUUUUUAAAGGUUUUACAUGCAUAGAAGAGGAAUGUUCACCUUAAAUAAGCAUAUGAGCGAUUAACAGGGUAUGUUUUCCUCUGGGAAAGGGAAUUUGGUAGCUCUGACCCAUGUCAGUCUGUGAAUAUUUAGACAUGCAGUGACUUUUUAACAUUUUUUCAUAAAUGUUAUUUGUGAAACAUUUCAUAUAUGUUAUUUAUGAAAUUGUUAUUUACAGUUAUGUUGUUAAUACUCCUUGCCUUUAGUUCCCCGGCAAAUCUUUUUCAUUCCUUGUGAGAAAGUAGACAAUUGAUAGAUUAUCCAAGGAAUGGAGAAAAAUGUGAGUGGGUGAUUUCGGACAAUCCCUGAGAGCUGGCAUUGUAAGAUUCAUCCUAUCCCCAGUAAUAUUUUCAUACAAUAAAUGUGAACACUUUUGAAGACUUUUUAUAGAGAUACAGUUUGGGAAUGAUAUUAAGAUAAGGAAAAGCUGUUGAUUGAUUUCUUAGAUUAACAUUUCUUCCCUCUUCUCUUUUCUCUUUAAAACAGUUUUCCAAGUGAUAACUUCAUCAAAUGGCCAGUGAUAAGCAAAUGUCCGAUGAUGACAGCCCCAGCACCAGCAGUGGCAGUUCAAAGUCGGACCAGGAAGACCCUGCUGCUCCAGAGCCUGAAGAUCAUGAAGAAAGAACCUUCUGCCACCCAGCAGAAGAAGAGCACCAAACUCUCUAGCAAAACCACUGCUAAGUUAUCCACUAGUGCUAAAAGGUAACAUUGUCAGGUUGUCUUCCAAGCAAUUGGAUGCUUUUAUUUUUACAUCAAGAACAAUACUCCAGAAAUACUUCAUGACCAAUUUUAUUUGUACUUGAAUGAAUUGUCAUCCUUUAGGGGACAUGAAAACGUCCUCACUAAAAUUAUGCUUCUAAGCAAACUUAUUCUGUACUUUGGUAAUUUCAGGAAGAGUCCUAGAGACUGAAUUCUCAUCCUGACAGUUUAAGGAGUUGGCCAGGAAAAUUUGUGAAACUGAAUUAGAUGGUAUAUUGGGGAUGUUUCCUUUUGUGAGUUAUACUCUUGAGUGAAAUUAGCACGUGUCCACGUGGGUGUCAGUCCAGGCAUCUGUGGUGGCAGCUUCAUAAAAGGAAAUGUGUCACUUUUCAUGAAAGGAAAUGAUCAAAAAAGUUUAUAUUUGCUAAAAAAUGUUGAAUGUCAGGCCUUGGCUUUUUUUGAAAGCAGAUUUUAAAUUUGCUUAGUUUUACAAACAAGUCUUUAAAUCCUUCAUAAUAGGUAUAAUUUUUUUGUAGUUAUAGUUAUCCCUCCUUGUUCUUGUGAGAACAAAUAAAACUGAAAAGUAGCCAUUAACAAUCUCAGGAGUCACUUUGCUGUUAAAACUUUGCACAUCUUUAAAACUCGUGGAUGUUCUUGACAUAGUAGUGAAAAACAACAGCAGGAAAAAACAUUUUGUUGGUUGUAAGUGAAAGAUUAUUUGUUUCCUGCUGACUUUUAUUUUCUAUUGAUGGCAAAAAAAAAUCCAUCAAUGGGACUCCAUUAGUGAUAGUGGUUGUAUUGAGUAGAACUCUUGUAUCAAACAUAAAAUGUACCUAUAGCAUUACCUAAUGUUGAUGCUUUGUUGUUUUUCAUUGAUCACAACUAAAAGAAAAAGAAAAUAUAAAAACUGAUCAAUUAUUGCAUUUUAUUCAUGUUCUUAUUUUUCUAUACAUUUUCACUGUCAUUGCACCAUUAAUCAAACACUAAUGAACUUGAGAAUAUUAUAUUGAAUAGCAGCAGUCUUUGAAAUAAUUUAAAAUUCUUCUCAGUGUGUUGUAAUCUUGUGGAGAGAACGAUAAACGACUUUUGAAAACAUUUUAAGUUUCAAGAAAAUCAGAGAAAUGCUCUUUUUCCCCUUACCUCAAGGCCCUCUUUCCUCCAAGAGUAUGAAAUUUAAAUUUACAUGCUGUACCUAAGAUCAGAGAAAAGAAAUGGUUAAGUAAGUUUGCUAAAAUAGUCCUUGGAAGUUUUUCAUUGGUAAAGGUAUUUGUAAAUUUUAAACUUUUUUUUAAACAGAUAAAAUAUUGACAAAACUAUUAAUGUGCUCUUGCAAUAGCUUUCUAAUUUUUACCACACUAAAAGUGGAUUGAAGUCAUUGUCAAAAAUAUUCUAGUGCUUUUCCUCCUUCUGUUUUGUCUCGUUUGCAUAUAAGCUUGAAAAGAGAAUUUCUUUGGUAAAAAGAGUUUUAAAAUAGAUUUUAUAUCCUUUUGUUGAGUAGUAGUGGAGGACUUUCUCAAAUCAGGUGUAAAUGACUUACCUAUUUACAGUAGCAAGUGAGAAAAAAGCUGAAAUUUUCUGUUAAGAGUUUUGGUUAUGCCUCUGAGAACAAAGAGGAAGCAGCCAUGUUAGCAUUACUGAAGGCAAAACCAGCCUUGCAUUUACCUGCAUGAUGGUAGAGGGCAUUCUGAUUUCUGGUUAUUCUGUAGACUGUCUCAAAUCCUUUUUGUCUGUUCCUAUUUCACUAACAGAAUUCAGAAGGAGCUAGCUGAAAUAACCCUUAAUCCUCUCCUAACUGCAGGUAAGAAACAAAUUUUGUUAUUUUGAUUUCUAAAUUGUGGAACGAUAUCAGGAGAUUAAUGUAUUAUCCUUGUAUGUAUGUGCAGCAGAAGAGGCUAGCUAGCUAUGUUUGCUUCCUUAAAGCUUUGCAAGUGCUUUAAACAAAAAUUGCCUAGGUGAAUUAAAUUAAAUUAGGAGAAAAAUACUCUUUAGCAUGUAUCAUAUAUUCUGUACUUAUGAAUAUACUGAUCUUGUGCUUCUUGCUGAGAUUUAUUUGAGUGGUGUUGAUUUUUCUGUUGUUUUUCUGUGGAAUACAUUUAUUCACAAGUAUUUUGUAGAAACCUGUAAGGUUUUAAGUUUUCAAGUUAGUGUUUGUGUGCAAUCUGAACUGAUUUUCCAAAUUUAGAAAUUGUUGAAUAUGGUGUUACAAAAUGUAAAAGCAUUAAACAGGAGUAUAGUUGUUUCUGUUUGAUUUAUUCAGUAACUUGCCUAAAGGACAAAUUUUAUGUGCUAAGCUAUGGUUGUAGUUGUUGUUUUCUAGAAAACACAUAGUUGGAAUUAUUUACAUUUUAAGCAAAUAUCCUAAUGACUUGGGAAAAUUCUUAGCAGUAAAUUAAUUGGAAUUGUGAGAAGAAUCAAAUUCAGUGGAACUCAGAAUUUAAGAUUGGUUGACAAAUUGUAUUAAAAGUAGCUGGUUGAUUUUUUUCAUUUGUAUCUUAUAUAGUCUUCUGUUUAUUUUUGAAUGGUGACUGUAUGGUUGACAAAAUUUAUCAAAUUUAGAGAGCAAUAUUAUAAAUAAAUUGCAUAGAAGUAUGUGCUCAAGAAUGAGAGGGGAAGGGAUGCUAGAAUUAAGGCAGUGCUAUGAUUUGAUAUAAAAAUGUUUUGGUGUUUAACCUGUGUUUUUGCUACAAAUUGUGUUUGCUCAUGUUAAUCAGCACCAUCUCUGAAGUCUACUUGAGACAUAAUAAGGAAUAAUCCAUUUGCUACUUAUUGUGUGUGUUAACCACAUCCCCAGAUAAGGGGGAUCUGAUCCUGAUUUAUCCAGUGAAUUAACAGUUUUGCUUAUAUUUGUAGUUGCAGCCAUUUCAGUUUAAAAAGGAGACAUGAAUGUGAACUAAUUAUAAACAGAGUUGUAUGUCAGAUCUCAAAAUAUUACUUAAAAAAUAUACUGUUCAAUAGUGUAGCCACUAGCCAUAUUCUGACUAUGGACCAGGUUGUUGUGGUUAGUUGAAAAUGUGAUAUGCUGAAAGUGUGAAAUGCAUACUGGAUUUUGAAAACUUAAUACAAUUUGUAAAAGAAUAAAUAUUUUAAAGAUAUUUAUUACAUCUUGAAAUAAUAUUUGGCAUGUUUAGUAAGUGUUUUAAAAAUUGUAUUUUUUAUCAUUUUAAGAUAGUUAUUAGAAAAUUCAAAAUUACGUGUGUAACUUGCAUUAUAAUUUUGUUGAACAGUAUUGCUUUAGAGAAGAAGUAAAUCAGUAUUUCUUUUAGCCUUCUAAAUGGUGUGUCAAAUAUGUACCAUUUAGGAGGUCAAGUUAAAUUUGCUCUGUGGAAGAAUCACUUAACUUUCAGAGUAUAUUCUGAUAAUUUCCAUUACGUAAGAUGUAAAUAUCUGUUAAUUUAAAACUCACAUGUCUUAAAGUUGCAUGUCAGGCCAAACGUUUUUAAGGGUUUCUGUUGAUUUUCUGCAAAUGGCUUAAACCAGUGUAUGGAUAUACAUCUAGAGAACAUAGUAGACAUAUUGAAUGCUUUCAGAGCAGUAAUGUACUGGUACAUUUGGUAAAGGAAUGUACUUUAAGUGUUUAACCCAGGACUGUUUCCACAAGGUCACAGGAUUAUUUUAGAUGGAGUAAAAUAAUCUAAAAUAAUAAUAAUAUUUCUGUGAAAUAGAAAGUAAGUUUCACUUAUCGCGUAUUCUUUCUCUUUAUAUACCAGAUUUCAUUUAAGUUCAUGAAAUAAUGCUUAACAUUUAGUGAUUUAACUAGUGAAGCAGUAAAACUUUGGGCUUGCUUGUGCAUAGUAACAUGGAAUACUUAUAUCUAUUUUCUUUUGUCACAGUCUUUGGUGACUGUUGGCUAUUGAAAAGGACAUCUUUUAACUUCUCUAGUUCUUAAAUAAUCUGAGUUUCUUUGUGGCUGUUUAAGUGAUUCAGGAAAAAAACAAAUGUAAAAUACAAGUUUCUUAGGAAAUCAGAAGUUGUUUCUUACUACUUUGGGGAGAGACUUUUUCCAUAUACCUCAUAUGUAAAAUAAUGCAGAUGCUUUUGUGUGUCUUUGGAUUCUUCUGGGUAGAAGGUUAGUUCUUGUAAUUUUGAUAGAAAAGCCUAAAUUUGUAUUGUGUUUUUGCUUUCAUGCCAGAAAAUGCAAUAGAUUGUGGUAUUAUAUUUAUUUUAACUCAUUCCUGCAUAAAUGAGAAUUUUAGCUUUAUGGUAGUUGUAUUAUUUAGAUUUGUUAAUUUAUGUUGUAAUUAAAAAUGGGAUUCCACAAUCAUAAGUACAUUUAAAAUUUGUGGGUUAAUAUUGCAUGAGACCUUUGAAACCUUAUGCUUGCUACUUCCAGGUGCAAUUAUUUAAUUAUGGCUUUUGGUAUGGUGUGUGUGUGUGUGUGUGUGUGUGUAUGUGUAUGUAUGUAUGUAUGUAUGUAUAAACUUGUCAAAGUAUGUGACAGUGUUAAUUAUCCCUCAGGGAAGAAAUGUUAAGUGUAUCUGGGUACAUUCAGGAAAAUGCUGAAUGAGAUAUAGGAAAACCAGAAUUACUUGUACUAGGGAGAUUUGUCUUAAAUCCCAUCUUUUGUUUUAAUUAAUUAAUUUAAUUUCUUCCCUUUUCAUGAGGUAUAAAAAUAUAACCAAAACCCAUCAGGACGUAUUUCAUAUGGCUAAAAAUACAUGCUCUCAUGAAAAUAGGGAAGAGUUUUUCUGAUUUUUCUUGAAGUUCUCAAACACAUCUAAAUAGUAGAUAGAAAAGACAGUGGAAUGAGAUUACCAUCAUUACCCUAAGUACACAUAUAAAGACACAACUAGGGGCUGGGGAUGUGGCUCAAGCGGUAGCACACUCGCCUGGCAUACCUGGGGCCCCAGGUUAUAUCCUCAGCACCACAUACAAAAACAAAGAUGUUGUGUCCGCGGAGAACUAAAAAAUAAAUAUUAAAAAAUUCUCUCUCUCUUAAUAAAAAAAGGCACAACUGAUGUGACUAUACUUUGUGUACAACCAGAGAUAUGAAAAAUUGUGUUCCAUAUGUGUAAUAUGAAUUGUAAUGCAUUCUGCUGUCAUAUAUAACAAAUUAGAAUUAAAAAUAAAUAAAUUUUUAAAAAAGGUAAAAAAAUGGGAAAAUUAGAAACUAAUAUCACUGUACAUAUCACUUCCCUUUCUCAAGUACAAUCUGGCACAAAAUGUGUUGAGAAGAGAUUCCCCCCCAAAGGAAAAAAAAAAUCCACUGGGGUUCGGGAUAUAGCUCAGUUGGAAGAGUACUUGCAUCCUAUGCACAAGGCUCUGCGUUCAAUCCCCAGCACCACCAAAAAAAAAAAAAAAAAUCUAUGAUAUUACAUCCAAUUGCAUGAACAAGAUUUAAAGAGCCACAUAACCAUAAUGAGAGCACAAAGCACACAAAAGUCUUUCUAGAUUCCAAUCUAGAAAAAAAAAAAAAAAAAAACACAUAUCCCAAGGGAGGAGAACAAUGUUCUUGCGAUUACUUUUCUCUAAGGAGUAUCUUAGUAUGGUGAUGAAUGACCUUCCCCCCCUCCCCCAGCACUGAGGAUUGAACUGAGAAGUGCUCUACCACUGAGCUACAUCUGCAGUUUCAUUUAAUGUUUGUUUUGUUUUUGUUUUUCUUGAGACAGAGUCUCACCAAGUUGCCCAGGCUCUCCUCAAACUUACCAUUCUCCUACCUCAACCUCCUGAGUAGCUAGGAUUAUAGGCAUGCACUAUUGUACUGGCUACAAAUUAUAUGUUUUUAAAUCAGGAAAUUGUCAUUUAGAGAAUAUUAUUCCCAUGAGUCCUUUCUGUAUAAAUUACUAUAGAGCAAGCUUCACACAACCAAUUGGAGAGACAUUAUCAUUAAUAGGUUAUCCUAUAUUGUAGUUAAUUGUAUGGAAAAGAAACAAUGUAGCAAAAAUGAAAUCAUAAAAACAAAGACAUUUCACAUAGUAAUGUAGAUUAAAAUGUCAUCCAACUAUAAAUUCCCCCAAAAUGCAUGGACCAAGAUCCUACCCAAGAUUGCGACUUGAGGAAGGACUGACUGUAUCCUUUAAAGGCACAAACUCAUUUUUUCUUCUCUUUGGUACCCUGUGCCACACUGUAAAGAAGCCCAGGCUAUCUUGCUGGAGGGAGAGUCCAUAUGAAGAAAGCCCCUGACAUAUGAAAGACCACGUGGAAAGGGAGACUACAUGAAGCCAACAGUCAGCACCUUAUUUUGGGACAUAAAAAGCCAUUUCAGACCUUGUAGUCUAAAUCAGGCGUUCGCUGUAUGAGUGAGCCUAGGUGACACUAGAGCAGAACCUUGGUUAAAGUCUUGACUUACAAAAUUAUGAUAAAUAAAAUGGUUGUUUGUUUGGUAGUGGGGAUUGAAUUCAGAGGCUCUCGACCACUGAGCCACAUCCCUAGCCCUAUUUUGUAUUUUAUUUAGAGACAGUGUGUCACUGAGUUGCUUAGUGCCUCGCCAUUACUGAGGCUGGCUUUGAACUCGCGAUCCUCCUACCUCAGCCUCCUGAGCCACUGGAAUUACAGGUGUGCACCACCACUCCCGGCAAAUGGUUAUUUUUUUAAAGCUACUAAAUUUUGGAAUUUUUAAAAAUAUAGCAAUAGAUAACUAAAAUACUGUUUAUUGAUGAUUUGCAGGGCUUUUAUUUAAUGACCAGUUUUAUUAAAGAAUACCCCAUUUAUUUCUACUGUGAUCAGAAAACAAACUGAUAUUCAAUAUUUAAAAUUUUUUGAAACUGAUUAUUUUGCCAGGAAUAUAACCUAUCUUGCAAAUUUCCAUGAGGACUAGAAAAGAAUAUAUAUUCUGGAGUUGUUGGGUAUUGUCUGUCAAUGUCAAUAAGGUUAAGAUGGUUGAUAGUUUUGUUCAGACUCUUGUAUCAUUAGUGAUUUUUUUAUGGUGUUACUAUCAGUUAUUAAAAGGGUGUUAAAAAUUCAAAGUAUGGAUUUGUCUCUUCAGUUUUGUCAGCUUUCAUAUAUUUGGGGCAUAUAAAUGUUUGGUUGUAUGGUGUCAUGUUUCUGUGUUCUUAAAAAACACAUUAUGAUAUUAUGAAAUGUCUUUCUUAUUUCUUAUAAAACUCUUUAUCUUGAAUUUAAAUUCAUCUGAUGUUAGUAUAGCCUCUGCAUUCUUAUUGGCUUACUAUUCAUGAUGUAUUUUUAUCUAUUAUCUAUUUCUUGUUUUCGUUCUAUUCAUAUUUUUAUUUAAUGUAAUUAAAUAAAAUUACAUUAAAUAAAAAUUAAAUUUUAUUUAAUUUAUCCAUUUGCUUUUAGCUGUAUUGCUUUACAUUAUUGUUUUAGCAAUGUUUCCAGGAAUUAUGAAAUGCAUUCUUUAAUUUAUCACAGUUUUCAUAGUUUAAAUUGUGAUACUUUCUCACAUCUCCCCAAGUCUUUUGUGCUUUGUCGUCAUACAUAUUACAGCUGUAUACAUUUUUUACCUUAGUCAUGUUUCCAAGAAAUUAAAAGAAUAAAUAUGUAUACAUAUUGCCUUUUAUAUUUACCUACAUUUUACUAUUUCUAGUACUUUUCAUUUCUGUUUAUGGUGCAUUGUCUUUAAAAAUAUCUACCCCAAAUUCUUCACAUUCCUGUAUCAUGUUGCUUCUCUCAUUAUGAAGUAAUAUCUAUUUUCCUACCUGCUGAGUCUGGGCUGGUAUUUUGUCUUGUUUUAAUGAACAAAAUAUGUUUUUGGUGAAAGUGAUGCCAUGCCAAUCCUAGACCUAACACCUUGGGAAGGUGUAUACCUUCUACUUUUAUCCUCUAGGAAUCCAAUCAACAAAUAAAAAAUUUUAGAAUGACUGAAUGACUAAAAGCAUUUGAGGAGAAAAGCCUGACCCAACCAGUUGAGCUAGCAGACAUGUAAACGAAGCUAUUUUGUCAGUUCUACCUUUGGUUAAACAAUCCCUGCUAAAGGAAACCACAUAAGCAGUAAUAAAUACCUAGAGCAAAGGACCCAUCAGGUUAUGUAAUGCCAAAUUAUAGAAUAAGGAGAAAUAACAAAGAAUUUUUAUUUUAAGUCAUUAAGUUUAUUACACAGUGAACUAAAACACACAGUGCAUCUGUUUCUAGCUGGUGGAUCAUCUCCUUUUAUCCUGAAGAGGUUCUUUUAGCAUUGUUCAUAGUAGAGAUCUAUUGGUAUUGAAUUUUCUUACUUUUUAUUGAUUUGAAAAUGUCUAUUCUGCUUUCAGUUUUGAAGAGUAUUUAUCCUGGAUUAGCAGUUUUUGUCUUCUAGCACCUUAAACCUUUCCAUUAACUUUAACCUCUCAUUUCUGAUAAGAAGUCAGCUAUUAUUUUAGUCAUUUUUACCAAUGCAUAACACACCACUUUUUUCUAAUUGCCUUCAAGACCUUUUUCCUCCUAAUUGAUUAUUUACAGUUGACUCUGAUGCAUCUAGAUGUGAUUUGCUUUGUAACUAACCUUAGUAUCCACUGAGUUUCCUAAAUCUGUUAACAUCUUUUUUGUUAAUUUGGGAUAAUUUUAGCCAUCAUUAUCUUAAAUAUUUUCUGUACAACUUAUGCCUCUAUUCUUUUAGAAAUCUAAUUAUAUGUAUGUUAAGUCACUUUGUACUGAUAGUAACCACAUCUCUAUUUUUUUCUUUCUGAUUUUUAGACCAGAUAAUUUUUAUUGGUCUAUCUCCAAGUUAACUUUUUGUUGUUUUUGCACUAUACAAUCUGAUGAUAGAUUUGUUUCAUGAAUUUUUCAUUUCAAAUACUAUACUUUUUAUUUCUUUUAAAAGAAAUUUUUCAUUUAUAUAGUGACACCCAUAUCUACUUAUUCAUUAUGAUUAAGCUUUUCUUUAACUCCUUGAAAUUAGUUAUAAAAACUAUUUAAAUUUUUUUUCUGCUAAUCCUAACAUCUGGGUCAGCUCACGGAACUUUUUUUAUAUGUGAUAUUUUCUCUUGUUGUUCUCAUUUUUCUAUCUUCUUUGCAUUCUGGCAAAAUUUAAUGAUAUUCUACAUGCCUAUAAUCCCAGCGACUCAGGAGGCUAAGGCAGGAGGAUCAAGAGUUCAAAGCUAGCCUCCGCAACUAAGGGAUGCACUUAGCAACUCAAUGAGACCCUGUAUCUAAAUAAAAUGCAAAAAAAGGGCUGAGGUUGUGGCUCAAUGGUUAAGCACCCCUGGGUUCAAUCCCUGGUACCAAAAAAAUUUUUUUUAAUUAUAUUCUGGUCAUUUAUAGAUGACACAUCAUAGGAAGUCUGGAUUAUGUUGUCUUCCUAUAAAGGAUAUUCUGUUUUAUGUGUCAUGCAGGCUAAUUACUGGUAAAUUGUUUUGAUCAUAUUAGAUUUGGUGGUAUUAUUAUUAUUAUUAUUAUUAUUAUUAUUAUUAUUAUUAUUUGGUACCAGAGAUUGAACUCAGGGUACUCAAUUACUGAGCCACAUCCCCAGACCUAUUUUGUAUUUUACUGAGAUACAGGCUCUUGCUGAGCUGCUUUAGCACCUUGAUUUACUACGGCUGGCUCUGAGCUCGUGAUCCUCUUGCUUCAUCCACCCCAGUCACUGGGAUUAUAGGCAUAUUCCACCGCGCCUGGCUAGGUUUGGUAUUUUUCUUUUUUUCCAUAUUUCAUGGUGCAUUAUACUUGUACAUAAUGGUGGGAUUUGUUGUUAUGUUUUCAUACAUGUGUACAAUAUAGUGAUAAAACUUAGCCAAUAUCUUUCUCGAGUAUUUCUCUUUUACCUGCUUUCCUCUCUCCCCUGAUCCCUUUCCUCUAUUCUAGUGAUCUCCCUUUGAUUGUCGUGAGAUUCCUUUCACACACACACACACACCUUUCUUUUCCUUUUUCCUUUCUGGCUGCCACAUACAUUUUUAGCAUGAAUCAAUUUUGGUUUCAAAUUUAGGUCUACCAUUUUCCCUUUACUCUUUUGUGUGUGGUUCUUUUUGCUAAGGCUUAUUUCUGAACUCUUAAUUAAGUACCCGAUAUACUAGUGAAGCUGCUGCAACCUGACUCUGCUGGAAACCUAAUUUCUUCCAACAUUGCCAUUUAGCAUCAUCUUCAGUCUCCUUUAUAGCAGUCAAACUCUGCUAAGCCUUAAAGAGUCUCAUCUGGUACAUUCAUAUCAAAAAUGAAUUUCCUCCAGGCUUUUAGUAUUCUCUCUCUAACACACACACACAUAAUCACAUUGCACACACCAUACAUAGCUCAGACAUUCUUGUCCACAAAAUUCCAACCACUAUGAUAAUCUUGCACUUUGAUAAUUUUCUCCUUAACUCAGUAUGACCACCAUCUUACUUGAGCUUCAUCCCCCUAAUUAAGUGUGUUUUGUGCACCAGGCCUACAGUCAUGUCUGAAAUUAAUUCCUGAAAAUGUUUAGUGUUUCUAGUUUUAUACUCUUUUGUGUCAGGAAAACAAAUCCAGUACAAUAGAUCUAUAAUAGUUUCAAGUAAAAGUACUAAAUUACUUAUAUCCUUGCCCAUCAAUAGUGGUAGAGACACUUAGGUGAACUUACAUAGAAACUGCAACAUCUUACAUACUCAACAAAAAUUUCAUUGCCCAUGGGACCCAAAAUUAAUUGAAAGAGUAAACCCCAAAAUGGAUAUCUUAAAAAUAAACUGGUCAAAAUCAGUAAGGCAAUCAGACUUAAAUAAUCAUAUAUUUUACCAAUAGCACUAGCUUAAAAGUAUGGGUCUACAAUAACUAGAAAAAUACAAGUUAAUGGCUAGAGUCAUAAAAGUUUCUAUUACAAUCCAAUAGGCAGUCUGUUAUGAUGCUUUAAUAUUAUAUGAUAGUUGUGAAAUGAUUACAAACUAAUAAUGAACAUAAUCUAUUUGCAGAUUAAAAUGUUCUUCCCUGUAUUAUCUACAAAGUUUAGACCUCAAAAUGCCCUGGAAAAUAAAUUUCUUAAGUCUCAUCAAAAUGAGCUGCCAGGUUUUUUCCUACAUUUGACAUGACACAGUGCCAAGAUUUCUAGUCCUGAAUACACACUUUCUAUAGGGAAGAGACAUUUAUCUUGGCAACUAACAGAUCAUUUAUCUCAUUUCAUACAGCCAAUUUUAGUUGUAAGAAAAGAAAUGUUUAUGCAUUUAUUCUGCUGACUUUAAUCUAUAAUCUAAUCAGGGAUCAACAAACUUUUCCUGAAAAGAGACUGAUAAUAAAUAUAUUAGACUUUGUAGGCAAGUCUUCAUUGCUACUCAAGUGCCAGUGUAGCACAAAAACAGCCUAGACUGUGGGUAAAUAAUAUAAGCUUCUGUGUUCUAAUAAAACUUUGUUUACAAAAGCAAGUGUUAUUGUUGGACACCUUGGUGUGCUUGCAACUACUCAGAAAGCUGAGGCAGGAAGAUUACUUAAGGAAGGAAGGAGGGAGGGAGUGAGGGAGGAAAGAAAGAAAGAAAAAAGCAAUAAAGAGAAUAAUGAAAAAAAAAAAAAAACAGUGUCAGGCUGACAGCUAUGAUUUGCUCAUCACUGUUCCAGAGUAUUAAUUAAUGUUUAUGCUCACAACAGAUGUUUGGCUAGGCUGUAUAUAUACAUACAUACAUGAAGGCAAUUUUGUUCUUUUUGUUUGCUUUCUUUUAUUUUUUCCAUUUUUUUUUGUUGAUACAUUACAGUCAUAAAUCAUGGCAGUAUUUGUCGUUACAUAUUUCCACAUGCACAGUAUAACACUACAGUUUGGCCAAUAUCAUUCCCCAGUAUUUUCCCUUCACUCCUCCCUCUCCUGGUCCCUUUCCUACACUCUACUGAUCUUUUGAUUUUCACUUUUCUUUUCCUUUUUCCUCUCUUGCUUUCACAUACGAGAGAAAACAUAUGCUCCCUUGACCUUAUGAGUUUAGCUUAUUUUGUGUAACAGAGUGUUCUCAAGUUUCAUCCGUUUUCCAGCAAAUGACAUAAUUCACCUUUAUGGCUGAAUAAAGCUCCAUUCUGUGUAUAUGCCACAUUUUCUUUAUUUAUUCAUCCUUGAUAAGCACCUAGUUUGGUUCCAUAGUUUGGCAACUGUGAAUUGUGCUGCUAUAAACAUGGGUAUGCAUGUACUACUCUAGUAUUAUGACUUUAAUUCUUUAGGAUAAACAUUGAGUAGUUGUAUAGCUGGGUUAUAUGGUGGUUUCCUGCCUAGUCUUUUGAGGAACCUCCAUACUGAUUUCAAUAGUGGUUAUAUUCAUUUACAAUCCUAUCAACAGAGAAAAAAGUGUCCCUUCUUUUCCACAUUCUUCUAGCAUUUAUUAUUGUUCAUAUUUUUUUAAGUAGUUGGACACAAUAUAUUUAUUUUUAUUUAUUUAUUUUAAUGUGGUGCUGAGGAUCGAACCCAGGGCCUUGCACGUGCUAGACAAGCGAUCUGCUGCUGAGCCACAACCCCAGCCCCAUAUCGUUCAUAUUCUUGAUGCCUGCUAUUCUGACUAGAGAUAAAAGCUCACUGUAGUUUUGAUUUGCAUCUCCCUAAUUGCUAAUGAUGUUGAACAUUUUCAUAGAUUUGUUGUCCAUUUUUAUUUCUUCUUUUGAGAAGUGUCUGUUUAAUUCAUUUGCCCAAUUAAGCUAGGUUAUUUGAGGUUUCGGUGUUAAGUUUUUUAAAGUUUCUUAUAUAGUCUGGAUAUUAAUCCUGUGUCAAAAGAGCAGUUGGCAGGGCUGGGGAUGUGGCUCAAGCAGUAGCGCGCUCGCCUGGCAUGCAUGCAGUCCAGGUUCGAUCCUCAGCACCACAUACAAACAAAGAUGUUGUGUCCACCGAAAACUAAAAAAUAAAUAUUAAAAAAAAUUCUCUCUCUCUCUUUUAAAAAAAAAGAGUAGUUAGCAAAUAUUUUCUCCCAUUCCGUAGGUUCUUUCUUCAUGUUACUAUUUGUUUCCUUUGCUGUGCAGAAGCUUUUUAAUUUGAUGCCAUUCUGUUUAUUAACACUUGUCAUUAUUUUCUGAGCUUUAGGAAUUCUAAUAAGAAAGUCAUUGCCUGUACCUAUAUGCUGGAGUCUCAAACCUAUAUUUUCUUCCAAGGAUUUGCAUAGUUUCUGGUCUAAUUCCUGGGCUUUUGAUCUCUUUCAAGUUUGUACAGGGUCUAGUCGUAUUUGUCUACAUAUGGAUAACCAAUUUUCCUGGCACCAUUUGUUUAAAAGCCUGUCUUUUCUCCCAAUAUGUUUUUGGCACCUUUGUCAAGGAUCAGAUGACUGUUAACUGUGUUGGAUCUUUUUCUGUGUCUUCUCUUCUUUCCCAUUGGUCUAUGUAUCUGGUUUUAUGACAGAGACUUGCAGUGGUUAUUUCAAUAGCUUUGUAGUAUAAUUUGAAGUCAGGUAUUGUGAUGAUGCCUCCAGCUUGCUUUAUUGACUUAUAAUUGCUUUGGCUAUUUUGAAUAUUUUAUUCUUCCAAAUGGGUUUCAGGACUGUUUUUUCUAGUUCUGGAAAAAUGAAAUUUAUUAUUAUUAUUAUUAUUAUUAUUAUUAUUAUUAUUAUUUUAAAUUUAUGACAAUAGAAUGCAUUACAAUUCAUAUUACAUAUAUAGAGCACAAUUUUUCAUAUCUCUGGUUGUAUACAAAUUAUAUUCACACCAAUUCAUGGGUAUUUUGAUGGGAAUUGCAUCAAAUCUUUAUGUUGCUCAUAAAAUCAAUUUCAAACAUAUACAAUCAUAUUAGUAGUGAUUUUAGUGUCCAAAAAGAGAUCUACUAAACAAUAAUUACUAGGCUGGUUUGGUGACUUGUAGUCCUAACUACUCAGAAGACCAAGCCAGGAGGAUUGCUUGAGUCCAGGAGUUGGAGAUCAGGUUAGGCAACAUACCAAGACUCCCAUCUUAAAAAUAAUAAUAAUUACUGAUGUCAAAACACAUCUCAAUCAUUAUGAUAGUCACUAACUCUUCAUUGUUUUCCUUGAAACUCUAAUAUACAAUUAGUGAAUGUCAAUUUAGGACUAAUUGUGCUGUUUUAUAGAGGAGAAAGCUGAUUAUAAUGGUAAAUGAAAUCAGCUAGCAUGAACUGAUUUGUGUUUAUUUAAUUACAAUUAUCAUGCUGAUGACUCUACAUAUUAAGUCUCCACCUAUAGUCCCCUAGGUGCUAAUUUUAAAAACAUGAGUUUUCAUUAAAAAUAAGAAAAGAAACCCCUCCAUAUGCAUUUCAAUAAUUCAAAUUGUAUCAUAAUUUGACUAUUAACACAAAGGAAAAUCAAUGCAACUAAUUCAGAUUUAAAUUUAAGAUUACACAGUGCAAAAGAGGAAAUAGUCUUGGAAAGGGAAGUAGAAAAAUGUAAGAUCCCUCUUAGAGGUCAGAAAAAAUAAAUUCAAAAAUGUGAUUUUUUUUUAAAGGUAGUGUUAACUUGAAGUGGAAAACAAAAAGCAAAAAACCUUUGAAGCAAAGUCAGUUGUGUUUACAAGGGCCUUUGGGUUUUUUUGAUGUUUUAGUGCUUCUGGUUUUUAAAAUGUUGAUUUGUGGAGGAUGGGCACAGGGGAUUGAAUCUAGGUGCUUAACCACUGAUCCACAUCACCAGCCCUUUUUUACAUUUUUUUUUUAUUUUGAGAUAGGGAAUCCAUAAAUUACUUAAGGCCUUGCUAAAUUGCUGAGGGUGACUUUGAACUCAAGAUCCUCCUGCCUCAGCCUCCAGAGCCACUGGGAUUACAGUGUGCAUCAUGAAACCGGGCCUUAAAUGUUGAUUUUAUAAUCCUUUCUUUUUAGCUGAUAAGAGAAAUUACAAAAUACAGAAUACUUGCAAACUACAAAAUAUAGGAUACUUACAACUAAAGGUGCUUUGUUAAAUGAUCAGAGUUUAACUAAAGUUUCAAGCAGUGACUCUCAAACUGGGAGAGUGAUUCUAGUCUUAUCAAGAGAAGUUUAGAAAUGCCUGGGGGCAUUUUGUUGUUGUUUCACCAUGACUGAGGAAACUACUAACAUUAUUUGGCCAGGCCCAUGGAUAGUAUAUAACCUUCAGCUAGUAGGAACAGUCCAAACCAAAGUACCAAUAGAGUUCUAUCAAGAAACCCUGGUGCAAAGAAGCAAUCUACCAAGGUCUCUUACUUAACAGCAAGGAAAACACAGUUUCAGUUAAGUAAGAGAACAGAGCAGGUGCCUGGUGCAGUGAUGCAUGCCUGUAAUCCCAGUGGCUCUGGAGGCUGAGGCAGGAGGAUUGUGAGUUCAAAGCCAGCCUCAGCAAAAGUAAGGCCCUAAACAAUUCAGUGAGACCCUAUCUCUAAAUAAAAUACAAUGUAGGGCUGGAGAUGUGGCUCAGUGGUCUAAAGCCCUUGAGUUUAAUCCCUGUUACCAAAGAAAAAUAGACCACCCAGGUGACUCGUUUGUACCAGUAGGUCUACCUAAAACGAAAAGGGAUUUUAUGCAAUCAAAUUGUUUUAUUAUCCAUUUAAAUAUAAUUCUUUAUUUCUUUAUGUUUGUCAAGAAGUAAAUAUAUUUAAGAUAACAAUGAAAAAUAAUAAAAGAAUGACAAGUAUAGGAACCUAAUGAUGACUUACACUUUUUGAUUACAGACUUGAGAUUCAUCUGAAAUGACAAUGCAAUCCCUAGCUAUUGCAACAGAAAUCUUAACCUCUCAGUGAAAAAAAAAAAAAAAAAAAAGAGGGAUGUUGAGACACCUUCAAUCAUCUUUUCUCACUUCUGCGUAAGUACCAAGAGAGGUUGGCCAAAAAUAUUUUAAAACCUAACAAUACUUUUAAACUUGACUUUUCUUUAAAAUAAGUGCAAGUAUAUGGUAUGGCCUAGUGUUAAUUUACAAUCCCUACUUUCUUAUGCUGUGACUGUCUUUAAAUGUGCCCAGUUUGAACUGAGAUGUGCCAUAAGUCAGAUAUCAAAGACUUAUUGUGAAGAAUGUAAAAUAACAGUUAUAUUUUUAUUUUGAUUACAAGUUAAAAGAAUGACAUUUUGAAUAUAUUGAAUUAUGUAAAAUGCAUUAUUAAAUGAAGCUCGUCUGUCUUUUUAAAAUAUGACUUCUAGAAAAUUUAAUUUACAUGUAGAGUUAAUAUUAUAUUUCUAUUGGUGGUUCUAAGGGAUCAGUGAGAAAUAAGAGAAAGAUCAUGUUCAGAUUCUCUAUUUCAUCAUUUGGGUUUGAUGUCAUUCACUGGUCCUCUUAUGUAUUCCAAACCAUUUCAAAUUUCAUGUGCAUUUGGGUAAGGCUGAGCUUUUCAUACUAAUCGCAGAGAACUUACUUUCCCAUGUAUGUUUGUUCAGUGUCCCCCACUGAGUAUAGUGUUCAUAAUAGUGUUUAUGGUCCUGUUUCUAAUUUUAUUUUAUUUUUUUAAAGAGAGAGAGAGAGGAGAGAGAAAGAGAGAGAGAAAUUUUAAUAUUUAUUGUUUAGUUUUUUAGGCCGACAAAACAUCUUUGUUUGUAUGUGAUGUUGAGGAUCGAACCCGGGCCGCACGCAUGCCAGGCGAGCACACUACCGCUUGAGCCACAUCCCCAGCCCCUGUUUCUAAUUUUAUACUGCAUGCAUCAAUUAAAAUGCUGAAGAUUCAGGAGGGCUUGCUUUGCUUCAAUGUAUGCUCUGGUAGACUAUAUGUUAUCCCGAAGAACAUAUUUUCUCCUCCACUCUCCCUGUCUCCUCCAAGAGGUGCUUGUGAUCUUCCAAGCACACUUUGGGAGGAUGUUAUCAGCCUUACUUUGUUUCAGUGAGAAGAGGACAGUUUCCAGAGUAGGCACUAUCUAAAAAUGUCUCCUUAGUGAUGAAAGCAUUUAUUGCCAAGACUUUUGUUGCUUUGUCAAUUGUCUAUAUUGGCUGUAACAGCCAGGAUUUUGCUGUAUAAUUAUUUAAGCCACAUAAAUGGGCAAUCUUUCAUAUAUUAUCUCAUUUUCUUCUUAAAAAAUGAACUAUAAAAUUUUUAACUUUGACCCAUAUUUGUAUAGAUGAAAUAUCUGAGACUCAGAAAAUUUAAUGAUUUGCCUAUAGUCACACAAUUAGACUUUUGACUCUUACUACAAUCCUUUUGGCUAUAUUCCUUACUUCUGCUGUUGUUCCGGUAAGGAAGUAAUUUAUAUUUCUGAAAACUAAAUGGAUAAAGCCCAACAGUGCACUGUGGAAACUGAGAUGUACAG